CAGCCUGCCUGCCUGCCAGAUCUCCCAGCCCUUCCCAGAGGACUGAGUUUAAGAAGGGAAGGGAAGGAAAGGGCAGGAAAGAACUAUAUUGUCUGAGCCAUGCUCACAGUUUCCAGGUGACUUCUGUCCAUUUGCCUCUCGCUUUCCUUGCGCUGCAGCUGGCAGAUGAGAUGGAUGCAUUAUUUCACACAGGAAAACAACAGGCUUCUUUCUCUCCCUCUCCCUGUCUCCUUCAAACAUGGGCUGACUCCAAAUGUAGCUCUCGGCUCCAAACACCAUCCUGGGCCAGUCCCAGCUGGGGAAUGUCAGACAGUUUGCUGCAAAGUACUGCACCCUCUCAAAGCGCUGCACUUCAAACAAAAGCAGCCCUGCUGACUUUUCCUAUACACAGCAUGUGAUAUGAACGCAACAUAGUCCAAACCUUUUGCUAGCUUGAUUACAUUUAAUUUUUCAUUCUUACAGUAAGAGCUGAAAUGUGAUUUAACCCUUCCUGUUAGUACUUGGAUCCUUUCGGCUUGUCUUCCUUUGUUCCCAACCUUAUCACAAAGGUGUUUUACAGACGGAAGACAAGUGAUGAAGUUAUAACUUUACCUCUCUCCUUUGACUGCACAAGGCCUGGAUUUUUACCGACUCGCUCCUUAGUUUACAGUUCCUCAGCUUCAAAGGUGACAGAUCAGAUUUUAGUACCAAUUGCUGGACCAGGCUUUAAAGCACGAAUUACUGGUCCUUCCACAACCAAUUUGCCUCCAGGUGUCUUUUCCUCUCCCCCCUCCUUAGGUAUCACAGCCUGGAAACAGAUUUCCCCACCUCGCUUCGGCCAGCGUUACCUCAAGAGUAUAAGAUGACAAGGCCUCAACGCGAGAUUGAGCAAUUAGAGCCAGGAGUGAGAGCCAAGUCUCUUACUUUCUAUUCCCAGCUCUGGCACUGACUCGUCCGCCUUGGGCAAGUUUCUUAACCCCUCUCUACCUCUGGGUUAUCCAUCUGUGUGGGAAUGCACCGCUGGACUCAGCUGCUGCACGACUGCCUCGCCAAGGACUACGGGUUUGGAGUGAAAGUCGCUCUGGUGAAAAAGAAAUCCCAGGGAGUGAGGAGCCCGAGUCCACGAGGGUUUGCUUGUGAACGAGGGAGGAUGUAGCUAAAAGGGUUUUAUUUCCCAGCUCUGUACCUUCAUUCCUGGAGACGCCAAUUUGGAGCUAAAGCAGAUGAACCGUAGCAACCUAGCGCCAUACACCAAGGCAACUCGAAGUCAGCACCGGGUGACUUUAACACCGCGAGCUGCACGCACGUGGCAGUUCCUCAGGCACUGCUUCGCCCUCGGGUCAGCACCAGUUGGAGCAAGCACAGAGGGAACCGACCCUCCAGCCACCACCACAUCCACACCCUGAGGUGCCGCAGCCCCUCAGCCCCUGCACUUUGCGCUGCUCCCCAGCAGACCCCUCGGGGUUACAGGAGAUUUGGGUUAGCCUCAGCCAGCCUUUUGCUGAACCGAGCCUAUGCGGACAACGUCAGGAAGCAAACGCAUGCUCUGCGCUUCUCCAGGCUGCUCAGAGACAGAAAAACAAGCAAAAUGUUCCAGCGAAGCAAAGCGUGUUUGGGUUUGCUAAGUCGGGAGGGAGCCGAAGGGGGUGGCAGGAAAACAACAGGUGGCGCAAAGUCAAAAGCUUGCAGCAUUUCCAGGAAUCUCAGCUUGUAUUUUAGAGGUUACGUUCUUGGCCUGUGUCGGUGCUUUAGGAUGGAGAAGCACAAAGCAAACUACCCACAGCUAGACGCAGGCUGGGACAGACGUGGGGCUCAAAACCAUACAUAUUCUCUCUAGAUAUUUCUGUAUUUACAGUGUUCAUGUAAACUUUCUGUUUUGUCAGAUAACCUUAUGCUGUGCGUUAGAUCCACUGAGGUGAGUGAUAUAAUUUUAUAAAAGCUUUCUCCCUCUCUCCGAUCUGCAUUUACUCUCACUAGACUUCCUGGACUCGCCACAAUAUGAUUUUGGUUAUUUUUUUGCAAUAUAAACGUCCUAAGCCUUCAGCAUUCGAUCUAUUAGCAGAGUAAAAUGUGUGGGACAGGCAGGAUUAGAAGUUAGUCAUCUUUAAAAACAGAGGCUGCCUUACCGACUCAGCAUGUUACACAACCUGGUAUGACAUCAAAGCAAAUUAAGAUUCCUGAAGACCAGACCGUCCCUGUUACAGGCACAGCUGUCCCCCCCAUCAGCAACAGGGUGGUUCCAAAUGUACCAGUCUUUCUGCUUGAUGCUUCAGGAAGAUAGCACUCCGCACGGGCUUUUUAAAUGAUGUGUUCACAAAGGGCACAGACCCACGAAAACGCUGCGUAAAGCAUCUUUCAUUGUUUGUCACAACCUCGCCGUAAGGAGCUUUCCUGAACUUUUAUGAACUCAAUACCACAGAGCACAACCUUGCCUCCCCGCGUGCAGCUCCACCUCAAAACAUCUUGGCACUGACCUUCAGAGUCACUGCGUGCAUCCCUGUCAGGGAUGGUGCACCCUUUAGUGGUGGGGCGAGGGAUCUUUGGCAGCCGCUGCUCAGCUUACGCGGCAGUUUGGCCAGAUCCCUGGCACGAGGGGGGGCAAGCGCCUCUGAGCCACUGGGCAUAAUCGAUGGUGGUUUUGCAACAACCAGCUUGUGCACACGCACAGCUGUGCUAGCGUUUAACCCCCUUCUUCUCCAGCUCUCAGACCGAUCCACUGCUCUCGUCACCCUCCAUCUCCUCAUAUUCCCCAACCUCUGUCUGGAACAAGCACUGAGGAAGGCUGCAAAGGAGAGAAGAGGCUGUGCUGAGGGCUGAACUCUGCUGAGAAGGAACCGAAACGUCCUACAGGAAUAGAAGGAAAAGAGUCCUACAAGGUAAAUGGCAGAUUUCACACAAGAAUGUAGGAAACCACAUGGCUCUGCACCACCUGUGUGAAUGAGGCUGUGGGGCACUGCACAGGCUAUUAGAAGGGGCUCAAUCAGUAUCUGAAAGGGGUCAUUCAGCUGCUGGAAGAUGUCAGGUCAGCGUUUUUAUGCCAUACACUUUAUGUAUCUUAUCAUUGGCCUCCACGAGGAGUCCUGUCUGUGGCAAGGAGGAAGAGAGCGCGAGAAUCGGAAUGAGCCAGAUGUGAAUUUAACUCAGCUACCCUGACAGCUACCCUGUCCCAUCCCCAGCACAGACAGCAUCUUCUUUUUGUUGUCACUGCAAGCAAGUUUUUGCAAGCUUCGAUCUAAUCAACAAGGGUAGCGUGUUCAUUUGAAAGCCAAUAGGGCCCAGGAUCACAAGGCAUGUAGGCACUUUUAUCCUUAAAUCCUGAUGCUGAUUUUAGUUCCUCUUUGUGUAAUAAAUGAUCAAAGCAAGGAAGAUCCACCACAGCCUAGUGAGUGCAUAUGUUUUGUGGGUGGCUUUGUUUUGCUUUUGUCUCUCCACAGGAGCGAGGAGGGGAAAAUACACAAGUGGAAAAGCAAUUUAAGUGCAAACCAAAUGUAAUGACUCUGCCCGUGAUGCUGGGACAUAAAUCCAAACUGUAAUUGCAUGCAGACUGCUUGAUAGCAUGCGCUGUUUGUGCCUGAAUGCCACCAGGAUGUGACACAGGCUCUUCCCAUUUCUGACAGGAGCACAACAAACAGGUGAAUUUAACCACACAAGAUUUUUGUGACCCUGAUGCUGAGGCAGGUAAAUAAAGGACAAUAGUCUUGAGUAUCUGCUCCACAAGACCAUGAACCUCUCAGAGUCUAAUGGCACUUGCCACAGACCCUUACAGAAGGCAGCCGUUAGAGGAACGCGCGCUUUUAACUGGCCAAGCAAACUCCUGUUAACACUUUAUAGAUGUAGAUAGGCUGGCUGGUUGGGCUGUUCCAACAUGACACACGCUUGUGCCCUGUUGAAAGGGCUUAUCUGUCUUGUCAGCAAGGUCGCCAGAGCAGGGAUAGCCUCUGGGCAGGCUUCACUGGGAGCUCUACUCAGCUGAGACUGUUCAGCCUGCAAGAAGGAAUAGCUCCUGUGUGGAAAAGCAAUAGCCAAGUUAGGGAAGAAAACAACUCUUCUUAGAAGUUUAAACACCUUGUUGUUAAUAAAGCAUGUCAAGUAGGAAGGACGGCUUCAGGAAACUGCGGAACAAGGUCUCGGAAGAUCCAGGGAAGAAAAAUUGAUCUCUGAAGCAGAACUGAUAAUGUGCUAACCCAGGCUGGCGUGAAAUAAUAGCUGUACAAGCUUGUAAAAUUGUAUGGUCAAAAUCAAAAGCAUCCACCACCACUUAGCCAGAAAGUUCUUCAAGCCUCUUUAAUAGGACCAGUUACUUCUUCAGUUCCUUAGGUCGAAAAGAAAGAAGUCUGACCCAGGAACAUAAUCAGGGGGGCAAAAAGCUUCCGUAAGGAAAGGAGCUCCUUUUCCAGGGCUCCUGAAAAACUACAGAAAGUCCAGACCCUUUCCCGGGUUGUUUAUACUAAUCACGCCCCACUUCACCCUGAAACAGCAAUUGCUUCCAUGCAGUGUGACCUGCAGUAUACGCUGGAUUGGAGCAGGUAUUUUAAGCCUAAAAUCAAUCAGCCAUUUAUGGGUUCGUUCUUUUGCCAUUUACAGGUUCUUUCUUUUGCCAUCUACUCUUCUUCCCUUCUCCAACGUUUUCUCUUCAGAUCCUUGACCACUAAAACACUUCUUUUCCCUUGCAUGCUCCUGCACUCCUCUUUCAUUUUCCAGCUGCCUUUGCUAGUUUCCCCGACGUGCAAUUGAACAUUAAAUGGUUUGACAGGCAGAACAUGUACUCACCCAACCACUUACUCCCAAUCAAUAUUCACGAGGAAUUCCUGUUAACAAGCAAGAGUUAUGCACACACUUGGAAGGGAGGAGGGCCUCUUAAGUGAUUAUUUCAUCCAAAGGCAUGACUGAUCAUUUUCCUGUCCACCUUAAUAAGCGGCAUUCAGAUUUUCCACCCCAUCUACCACCAGCAAGGCGGUUUUUACAACAGUAAGAUCACAACUUUCAACGUGAUCCCUAUUGUUCAUCUCUGCAAUUACCUGGGGAAUCUAACGCGGGUUCAAAAUAACAGAAAAUCCAGCAUAUAGUCAGCUUUUAUUCGGUUAAAAAUGAGCCUUCCAGAGAUUCUUUGCUAAUCUUUUCCAACCCAGACACGGCAGGAUCACACGUUAGUGAACACUGUUUACACUAGUGGUUCUUUACUCUGAAUUACGCACCAUUCCUCGCGGUGCCAGUGGAAGCAAUGAUGGAAGUGCUAAGCAUUGCACAGAGCAGAAGGUAAAUGGCAAAACUGAUGUUUUACUCCCUGGGCUUUGAACCACGUUCACUUUUUAACACCUCUGCUGAAACAGUUUUAGCCUUGUUAUACGCAGAGGAACUAAAAUACACUGCCUGUUCUCAAGCCUUCCAGGACGCUUGAAGGUAAACAAAAUGGAUUUUGGAAGCAUUUAUGGCACCAUACUUUAAAAAGUCUGUUCUACCCCUGUUCCUGCUCUUACUUCGCACUGUGCAUCUAUUUGUGGCUGCUGCUGGGAAGGCAAUGGCGAGCGAGGCAGACCAUGCUCUGAGGAAGCACCACUGAGCUAAGGACCAAGAAAACUACCUGACACUUACGGACUGAUAACGAGGACUAACUGGGCAAAGUGGAAAGUCUGGAAACAGUGACACGCUGAUAUUUUCUUGAUUUUGUGCAAUUUUGUCACAAAACUGUAUCAAAGUUUCAAGCUUUUGGAGAGAAGAGAAAUGGAUAGAGGAUUAUACAUUCAUAAAUACUUUAAUUUGCUUUUACUGCAGUUGCAACUUUGCUUUUACUCGCCCCUGAGCAAACUAAAUUGCAGUUACUAGCAUUUUUAGGCAGGAAAGUCCAAUAUGCUAAAAAAAACUUUUAACUCAGCAAGUUAUUUAUGUUUGAAAUCUGCUCAGCCUGAGAAGACUAACAAAGGAGCUGCCUCUGCAGACAUGUGCUUUAUUUGCCAUAUGCCAUGAGACAGUCAAUCUACCACAGAUAUUAAUAGUAGUAACUUUGGGCUGGCUAUUCUGAGGUUCAAAUAUGAGGCUGUUUUUCAUAUUGACCUUAACAAAAGAUCAUGGUCACAAAUGACCCUAACAACUAAUCUAGGCUUGAUCUGCAGAGGGACAAGUUGGGAGCCAUCUUGUACGUUGUGCGUGACGCACCUGCCCUGGGACAACGCACCAGAAGAUGCUUUACGUUCACCAGUUACAUCUGCCCUGGGGCAAUACCCAAUCUUUGGCUAGGAGGAAGCAGAACCACCCAAACUUACUUGGUCUUAGGGUGUAAUGAAUACAUGGAACAUGCGCACAAGAUACCGUUCCCGUAUUCCAACUCCUAACACCUUGUACUCUGUCCCAAAAGACCAUUUGGGUCAUCCAUCCCCUUCCUCCAGAACAAAUCCUCACCUAGCAUGGCAGCUAAGCAGCACACAGACUUGAGAGCAGAAGCAAGCUGAGCCUGAAACAAUUCUCUAUCUGCAGGAGAAGCUGCCACGGCUGCACGUGAGAGUUAUGCUCACUAGUAAAGACAUAAUAAAGUAGCCUCAAGGGGUAACUGCUAUUCCAAGAACUGCCACCAUCUUUCACUAUCUUUUUCCUCUGGCUAAUUUUUACAUUGCUCUGUAUCUGCGCGGAUCGCGUUCUGAUGAUCUUUUAUUGAGUCUGAGGACCACGUGUUUCAUUUCUGCUGCUUUUCUAGAAGAAAUGAUUACUCAUUUCCCUGGAAUAGCCUCAGAUCCUUCGCUGUUUCCAUGCACUCACAUUAUAUCUGAAAGCUUGCAGAGGAGAUGCAAAUGAUUAGAACAGUUCCAACAGCCCAAACAAGAAGUCAAAACAGUGUCUCUUCUGGUGCAUGGGAGCACAUGAUUAAUGAGAAUUUCCUCCACUGGGAAAGGCUCUUGCAGUCUUUGGCCUCAAAAUCCAGCGGACUUUACACACCAGAGCCUUGCCAUGAACUCUGAGCAAAGCAAACACGAGAGGUAGGUUUAAGAGUAUCUUAUGCCUGUAUGUUGCUUGCACACUGAACAUCCUUGACUGUCGGCAUUCUUUCUAUUCACCUUUCCACAUCGAUAUAUUAAUAUUCAAAAAUAGAAUCUGAGUAGCACAGCCUGUAGUGCAGACCAAAACCUCGGGAAGAAGUCUCCCUCCAGCCUCUGAAAAGAACUGCCUGAAUAAACACUGGAGAAUUGGUCCCUGCAGACAUUACACCGACUGAAAACUGAAGCAAGCAGGGGCUGGGGGCUCCAGCAGCGUGAGCUGUCUGUUCAAACAGCUGGAUCUCAAUCUGCAUAUACCACUUUGCCUUACUUACCAGGGAAAGCUUUCUGUGUGCGAGACACCGUGCAACAGGGCAGGUAGCAGGGUUUUCUGGGCUGCCUGAGCCCUGUCCUGCACACAGGCAGAGCCUGCUGACUUCAACUGGACCCCGCACACGGCUGCAUCUGACUCAUCUGGAUUUUGUGCUUAUGAGUACAAAACCACUUGCUGCGACCCAGAUGGAAUUAACAGAGUAUUCUCCUUAUUUCUAAUUAUUAGAUCAUCCUUUUCUUACUCCAGCAAAGAUGACUUGCAGACUAAGUCUCUUGGGGGUCACGGCAGUUGUUUUGUUUGUACAGCAAUUAGCACAGCAGGAUCCCAGGCCACAGCCGAGCUAAGGCUACAUCUAUACGGCUGCAUCUGCUCAGGCCUCAAUUCCUCACUUAAGCCCAAAACUUCCAAUUUUCAACACCACCUACACUGAUGCUUAUAUGCAAGUGAACUCACAUCUCAUGUAUGGACCAGCCUGGACCUGAGCUGUAUGCUGGAAACAGUAUUGAUGCAGCAGUUUCAAGCCCUUUUCUCUAAGGGCUACCCAGAGCAGUCAGGAAUCGAAGCAGCAGUUCUCCUGAUACUCAGCCAAGUCUUCGCUAUCUAACUUGAAAACCAAAAUCACACUUGGCUCUGAUCGGUGGAGUGUAGUGACCGAGCACCGUUUCAGCUAACGGAGCAGGACACGCUUGGCUUGGAUGAAAGCGAAACAGCAGCUCAAAGAGUCUAACGGACCACAGGGGUCUUCAGAAAGGCUCUGCAAACCCCAGACAACUCCAGAGAAGCAGCAUAACAGCACUGACAUAACAGUUGCUUCCCCAAGUAUUCUCUAAGAAAACAAAAGUCAGCUGCUCCAGGAGGAAGAUCAACUAACUGUAUGAUCCCAAAUCUGCCAUGUUAGGGAUCCCCACGACUGGUCAACUCAUCUGGUACAAAGUGCAAACGAGAUGCAAUGAAAAUUAAAGCUAAAGUCAAGCAAAAAAGGGUCAUGUUAAAAGUUUAACUAAUUCAACCAAGAAGUACAGUGAAAUCGCCAACACUUCAGACAAAAAACUCUUAGAAACUGUGCGGAACAAGUAGAAACAUCGCUCGUGAUACAGGAAUUACUGGUCUUUGGCCAGUAUCACCCCAGACAUCCAGAAGGAACACAACGCAGCGCCCACCUUCACCAUCAUGCUGCUCCAGUGGGCAUCCGAACACACCACCAGUCCUUUCCAACAGGCACUGCAUGUUCCCUGCUACUCCCAUAUCCCAAUUCUCCAUGUAUUUAGUUCUCAAUUUUACAUGAUCUAUUUUGCCUGUGGCACAGUAGAUCAUUUACCCUCCUCCUAUUAGCCCUCUCUGUUUAAUUACAGUUUAAUGCGAAUUGAUCUUUACAUUAAUGAGCCUGUAAGGAAGAUUGAUUUUUUUCAAGAGACUUUUAUGCUCAGUUUGGCAGCAGAGUGGUCCUAUUGAUUUCGCUUUCCCCAGUAAAUACGCAGAGUGUUGCUGCAUCCUCUGUGAAUCAGCUAAUCCUAUUUCACACUCUUUUGCUCCAAAAAAAAUCCUUGCUCCGACUUCCUUGUUAUCUGUGUUUAUUCACAGCAAGAUCAUGGGGCCAAUGCACCUCAGACAGCUGUGGCUGUUGCUUACACACAGCAACUGCCGUGGGUCACUAUCCCUUUUGUUCCUAAAUGGCUGGGGGCUUAAAAGACUUGCAGUGAAAGAAACGAAAGUUAUUUUUAAGUGUUUAAUCUGUUAACUUCCUUAAUUCCUCGCCAGCUAAGGAUGUGGCACGGAGCGCUCUGUUUACCACGCCUGCUCAGAGGUCUGGUUAGCAGGCUCUCCACCGAGCUCUACAGCUGCACAGCAGCCUGUGCCGGCGUGUCUGCGGCGGUGGAUGCAGGCUGAAUCAGGCUGGCCACCUCGGAGCCAGGGCAGAGGAUGAGGAUCGAACCCCCAUCGCCCCUUGCAGCCGCCCCAAAAGCCCUCCAGCCCUGAUCGCAACUCAGCUCCUCCUCUCGUCCUCCACACUAGCAAGGCUAGUGACUCUUCACUCAAGCUGGCCGGGAAGUUGAAUGUAAUAAUUAGAUUCAGAUCUGCUUUAAAGAAAUGAUUUCAUCCAUCCUCCUCUCCCCCACCAGAUCAGGUCACAGCUCGAGAAAAGUCUUCUCAAGAGCCUACAGAGUUAACGCACUUGAGUUGCAGCAGAACAUUUGGAAGGGAAAUCCUCAGCCAAGUGGAUGUCAGUGAAAACAUCCUGCCAUCAACUCCCAAACGUCCAAGUCUAGGAACUGUAGCUAAAUUACAAAUGCUGUGGGAAUUUCAGGCAAGAUUCUCCUCUCAGCUACUCCGAUGUAAUUUCGGAAUGAAUCCAGAUUCACAGUCUCUCCCCCUCCCAGCUGAAUUUCCUGGCUUUUGUUUGCACUAACAGAUGUUUGCAUUUAAUGUCUGUCUUUAUUUGGUAACCAGUACAUAGAUUAUUUUUCCCUUCUGUUCUAUUAAAAGCCUUAUCAAGUC
This is a long non-coding RNA of Cygnus olor (mute swan), 9774 nucleotides long. RefSeq lists it as uncharacterized. The record is from RefSeq and is a predicted model, not a curated record. The transcript is spliced from 2 exons. Lineage: Eukaryota; Metazoa; Chordata; Aves; Anseriformes; Anatidae.